CACCGCGGUUAUACGAGUAGGCCCAAGUUGACAGGAUGCGGCGUAAAGAGUGGUUAGGAGAAUAAAACAUAAAACUAAAGUCGAAAGUCUACAAGACUGUAAUACGUUUCCGAAGAUACGAAGCCCCACCACGAAAGUGACUUUAACCCAAAUCUGAAUCCACGAAAGCUGAGGCA
Molecule: ribosomal RNA, 176 nt
Filed under: Labracinus sp. CBM:ZF:10735
Lineage: Eukaryota; Metazoa; Chordata; Actinopteri; Pseudochromidae
Description: partial 12S rRNA
Source: RNAcentral